GAAACCACCGGCGAGAGCCAUGCGAACGAGAUGGGGGAGGCUCUUUGCCUUCAUCUUGGCCAUUACAUUGGCGCGGUGCACCUCGACGGUACGCGGACUGAU
This 102-nucleotide small RNA is filed under the name Sinorhizobium meliloti 2011. Its description in RNAcentral is "putative ncRNA". The record is from RNAcentral. Lineage: Bacteria; Pseudomonadati; Pseudomonadota; Alphaproteobacteria; Hyphomicrobiales; Rhizobiaceae.